AGAGUUUGAUCCUGGCUCAGAUUGAACGCUGGCGGCAGGCCUAACACAUGCAAGUCGAGCGGUAGAGAGAAGCUUGCUUCUCUUGAGAGCGGCGGACGGGUGAGUAAUGCCUAGGAAUCUGCCUGGUAGUGGGGGAUAACGUUCGGAAACGGACGCUAAUACCGCAUACGUCCUACGGGAGAAAGCAGGGGACCUUCGGGCCUUGCGCUAUCAGAUGAGCCUAGGUCGGAUUAGCUAGUUGGUGAGGUAAUGGCUCACCAAGGCGACGAUCCGUAACUGGUCUGAGAGGAUGAUCAGUCACACUGGAACUGAGACACGGUCCAGACUCCUACGGGAGGCAGCAGUGGGGAAUAUUGGACAAUGGGCGAAAGCCUGAUCCAGCCAUGCCGCGUGUGUGAAGAAGGUCUUCGGAUUGUAAAGCACUUUAAGUUGGGAGGAAGGGUUGUAGAUUAAUACUCUGCAAUUUUGACGUUACCGACAGAAUAAGCACCGGCUAACUCUGUGCCAGCAGCCGCGGUAAUACAGAGGGUGCAAGCGUUAAUCGGAAUUACUGGGCGUAAAGCGCGCGUAGGUGGUUUGUUAAGUUGGAUGUGAAAUCCCCGGGCUCAACCUGGGAACUGCAUUCAAAACUGACUGACUAGAGUAUGGUAGAGGGUGGUGGAAUUUCCUGUGUAGCGGUGAAAUGCGUAGUUAUAGGAAGGAACACCAGUGGCGAAGGCGACCACCUGGACUAAUACUGACACUGAGGUGCGAAAGCGUGGGGAGCAAACAGGAUUAGAUACCCUGGUAGUCC
This 793-nucleotide ribosomal RNA is filed under the name uncultured bacterium. RNAcentral's name for it is "bacterial SSU rRNA". It matches the Rfam family "Bacterial small subunit ribosomal RNA", at positions 8 to 796 of the family's 1533-position model. The record is from RNAcentral.